This is an RNA transcript of Dalotia coriaria, 2172 nucleotides long. It is a transcript of the gene named antichymotrypsin-2-like, with no coding region annotated. The transcript has 5 exons. The record is from RefSeq and is a predicted model, not a curated record. Lineage: Eukaryota; Metazoa; Arthropoda; Insecta; Coleoptera; Staphylinidae.
UACGUAGAAUCGUGAAUAGUAUAGAUGUUAUUCACAUACCACAUUGAUUCAACCUGUGUUAGAAAUACUUGGUUUAUAUGCCGAUCACACCCGUUAUUUCAAGCAUUGCUCGCCGGUCGUUCGGUGCGAACACGUCCCCAAGUUUCUCGCUAUCAAGUGCUUCCUGUAUUUUGUUCCUUGGGAUUUUUGCGAUUUCAUCGACAAUGGCGAACGAUAAUGCGAAAGCCGUCGUGGCAGGCAACAACCGUAUCACCGGUCAGCUCUACCAGCACAUCGCCGAAGAUAAUGAGAAUCUCAUCUUCUCUCCAUUGAGUGUUCACACAGUUCUGUCUUUAGUCUACCAAGGUGCUGCCGGUUCAACCGAAGCAGCUUUCAAAAAUGUUCUUGGAGUUCCCGACAAGCUUAAAACAGCCGAAGGAUAUCAAUCCGUUAUGGCACAAUUGAAUAAUGUUGCUAAUGUUACCCUUGAGAUCGCGAAUCAGGUCUAUGUGAAAAACGGUUAUCGCAUGAAGCCGCAAUUCAAAGAAGUUGCAACUAAACAAUUUGCGGCCGGCGCUGAAAAUAUUGAAUUCACCGCACCCACUGCAGCGAAAACAAUGAAUACCUGGGUUGAGCAGAGAACCAAGGAUAAAAUCAAGGACCUUAUUAAACAAGAGGAUCUUGAUGCCGACACCAGAAUGGUUCUCAUUAACGCGGUUUACUUCAAAGGAAACUGGGCGGAUCAAUUCAACAAAGAUUUAACACGUCCGGAUAAGUUCUUCAUCUCUGAGACAGAGACAGUUCCAUGCCAGAUGAUGUUCCGCAACGGUAAAUACCGCUACAAGGACGAUUCCGCUUUGGAUGCGCAAGUCAUUGAGUUGCCAUACAAAAAUCCUGCUUUGAGUAUGAUUGUAAUUUUGCCUAAGAGUAAGACUGGUAUUAAGGAACUUGAGAAGAAGCUUGCAAAGCUUGAUCUGGCUACGGUAACGAAAGAUAUGUACAGCGUUGAGGUGGAUUUGAGUCUUCCGAAAUUCAAAAUUGAGUCCACUAUUCAAUUGAACGAGCCUCUCCAGAAGUUGGGUUUGGGCGAAGCAUUCAGUGGCGCCGCGAAUUUCUCGGACCUUCUUGAAAGCUCCGAACCUCUUAAAAUCAGCAAAGUUGUCCAGAAAGCAUUCAUCGAAGUAAACGAAGAAGGAGCCGAGGCUGCAGCCGCUACCGCUGUAUUGGUAUCCUUUACAUCCUUAAUUGGUUUCAAACCGAAUAUGAUUUUCCGUGCCGAUCACGCCUUUAUUUCUUUGUUGGUCAUCGAUGAAAAGGUCCUAUUCAUGUCUAAGUUAGAAAAUACAAAAUAGAACAAUUUACGUUGACUGUUAUUAAAAAAAAGUGAUGUUUGAUUUCUUACGGCAUUAUUAAACAAUCAAAGAUGUACUGUUCUUUAAAUUACAUAAAACUUUAAUUAAAAUAAUUGUGAAGCAUUAAAUGUAAAGCAAAUAUAAGCAAUGUAUCAAAACAAUAAUCUAUAUAAAUAUACUGCUGUCUUAAAUAUGCAUGUGUUUCUUGUUCAAAAUUAAGAGUUGUAUCCACGCAUUAAAAUGAUGUUACUCCGUUGUUUUAUACAGUAACUCAAAAGUGUCGCAAAUUUGCUUCUUUUAUAUUUGUCUAUAAAUGCUCAUUCCUACUUUCUAAGCUCGUCGCAAUAUUUGUCGCAUUAGAUGUGAGUUCGCUGUUGUAAAUAAUAUCAAAGAUGAAUUAAAUAACACGAGAAAAUUAUUAUUUAUUUUUUAUAGAAAAAGUAAUUUACUAUUCUCUGGGAGCUAUACCUCCAAGAAUUUUCAGCGCCGAUCACAGCUUCAUUGUGCUACUGGUGCAGCAUGUGCAAUUUCGUAAGAAAUUGUUUUCUUCAAGCAAAAAAUUGUUGGUGCUGUUUGCAUCAAGAGUAUACACUAUUUAGGCUCUAAAGUGCCACAAUAUGUAGUGGAGUUAGAGGAGUGACUGUGGUGCUAAAAGCCGCGAUUGAAGAAGAAUUCAGAGCGGAUCACUCAUUCGUGUUCGCACUUAUCUUUCACAGUCCUGACGAAUCCGUAGAUACAAUGCUAUUUCAAGGAUGCAUCAAAACUAUUUAAAAAGUAAAGUUAGUUUUGUCAUAAGUGUCACAUAUAUUAAGUUAUACUAAUAAAAUGGCUUUGAAGUCAA